UGUUUUAAAGGUGGAUGCAUCAAUUAACUCUGUGCUCUCUCUUUCACACUCAUCAUCAAACUGACUCUCUAACCUCUCGGAUCGCUCUGCACUCUCUCAUCUCCUCCUUUGCUAUGUCAACAGCCUCGGACUCAACACUCUCUCUAAUCCCUCGAAUCGUCUCUGCACUCUAUGCUCUACUUCUCCUCCUUGUCCUCCUCAACCAUCUUCCUCCCUCUCAUAUACUUAACUCUUCCUCUUCACUUUCACGCAACAGCGCCGCCAUCCACCAGUCACCAACGACCGCCAAAUUAAACUUCUAGAAUCCUUUUUCUGUCCUCUUUCCAACCCCCAAAUUAGUUUCUACAAAUUCGUAACCGAAUUUCCUCAAUUUCAGAUCUAAGAAACGGUGACCAUUGGUUUUCUGGCCAAGCCUGUCGGAAUUGGACCUCGACCCAAGAGAUCAGUGAACAACUUCUGGGUGUCCACAGAGUGUUGUGGCAAUUUUUUUGGUGCGUGCAGUUUUGUUCCUGCCAUAUAGAUGGGUAAUCUUGGUUGAGAAAUUUGUUCUAAUCAGCCGCAAAAUAUGGUCGAAAGUUUGUUGCCCUUGAAGUUCAUGACUUGGAAUCGUCGGGGUUGUUCCCGGCUAGGAUAUUUUUUCAAGCUUCCUUAUUAGAUCGAAUAAAUUAUCUUGAUAUUUUCUGUUGUAUCUCGAAUAAAUUUAUCAUUUGCUGUUGCAUCUCAUGGUCAGUGUGGGGGUUACCUGUUAUUAAGGAACUCUAUUUCGGUUAAUUUUAAGAAUACUAAAGUUCGGAUAUGUUUUUGGAUGAAAUGUGACCUUUCUUUUUGAUAUUGGAGGGGUGUUGCAUAAAAUUUGAUACCUGCAAAGCUGCACACAAGUCAAUAACAUGAAAUAUGGAGGGUGUGUAAAUCCAUCCGUCUCAGAGGUUUUGAGUUUCAUAUGUAUAGUCAAUUAUCGUACGUUCAAAGUUUGUUAUUGACCAAAAGAAAGAUGAUGGGAAGCCAAGGGUUAUGGCUACUCUGAAUAAUAAUAAUAAAAUCUAAUCUUUGUAACCAGAAAACUUAAUCUAAUUAUUUGUUCUGGGAAUGUCAUGGAUAAUUAUAUUCUAGUAAUGAGGUACAUGACUUCUUUGUGAAAGCUCAUGUUUUGUGUUCAGUUCAUCAUCUUGUGUUUUGGAAAAGAACAGAUCAAAUAGUGUAGAAAGUCUCAGUUUGGUUGCUUAGUUCAAAUUACUUUAAGAAAUUUGGGUUUGAGCGGACAUUUGUUUGUGGUAAUUGUUAUCCAGCUUUCUUGUUCAGAUGCAAUUGCGUUCUAGUCAUGUGCAAAAGAAAAAUGUACCUCAUUAGCAAAAUGCUUUUCGAAAUUAAAAUAAACAUCCAGUGCUGACUUGUUCUCUGCAUGUUGCUUCGUGUGCAGAGAACACGAAGUAUAUGGAAGAGUGGCUCUCUUCUCUGAGGAGCAGCUGACACCGGAUGAAAUGGAUACUGGCCUAGUUUGAUGUAAUUACUUACUAGUAGUACGGGACUGGCUAAUAUAACUUUGAGUAGCAGAGAUGGGAGUAUUAUAGAGGAUUCUAGUGCCACUAUUGCUGGAAGGUGGUUUGUUUUCUUGCUGCCUUUGCCUUGGGAUUGACUUGGAAGGAGGCUGCUGCUACUGUCUUACUUGCAAUUCAAAAUUAUGGUUAAUUGCGUGGAGUAUCUGGGGACUGGGGCGUGACAAUAGAUGCCAAAUGGUAUUGUAUCUCAUUUUGGAGUUUGGUGUUGUGAACCCUUUUGUACAUACAAGUUUAAAAUAUAUAUGCAUAUAUGUUUAUAUGCACGUGGCAUGAGGUCAUUGAUUUUUUGGGUGCAAUACAUCUUAAUUCUAAGAAGAGGAGAUUUGACUUUGUAAGUGCAGGUAUCAGAUUGCUCUACUCUCUUAGUGCCUGGGUAUUAUAUGAAGCUUUGCGCUUUCAGAUUAAGGGUCCGACACUGGCACUCAAGCAGCAUUUUGGAAAGAAAAUUUUGGAACUAGGAGAUGAGAAAAGAACUGUGCAGGUUCACUUACAACCUUUAUAAUUUUUGUUUUAUUUUAGUUGGGGAUAGAACAUGUAAAAUUAUAGUUGUUUUUACAUAUAAUGGUUGUGAAUAUCCUUGUAAAUUGUAAUAUUAUAGAUGCUUGUGGUUGUAGGCUGUUUUAAUUUUAUGAAAAAAUUAUUUUUUGUUUA
Molecule: non-coding RNA, 2207 nt
Organism: Malus domestica (apple)
Lineage: Eukaryota; Viridiplantae; Streptophyta; Magnoliopsida; Rosales; Rosaceae
Source: RefSeq, a predicted model, not a curated record